UAGGGUGUUGCAAACUUCAAUGGUUA
Molecule: non-coding RNA, 26 nt
Filed under: Homo sapiens (human)
Lineage: Eukaryota; Metazoa; Chordata; Mammalia; Primates; Hominidae
Source: RNAcentral